This 174-nucleotide RNase P RNA is filed under the name Salmonella enterica. Its description in RNAcentral is "partial RNase P RNA component class A". It matches the Rfam family "Bacterial RNase P class A", at positions 181 to 367 of the family's 367-position model. From Rfam's summary of the family: Ribonuclease P (RNase P) is a ubiquitous endoribonuclease, found in archaea, bacteria and eukarya as well as chloroplasts and mitochondria. Its best characterised activity is the generation of mature 5'-ends of tRNAs by cleaving the 5'-leader elements of precursor-tRNAs. Cellular RNase Ps are ribonucleoproteins. Lineage: Bacteria; Pseudomonadati; Pseudomonadota; Gammaproteobacteria; Enterobacterales; Enterobacteriaceae. The record is from RNAcentral.
UGGUAAUGGUAACAGUCCGUGGCACGGUAAACUCCACCCGGAGCAAGGCCAAAUAGGGGUUCAUAAGGUACGGCCCGUACUGAACCCGGGUAGGCUGCUUGAGCCAGUGAGCGAUUGCUGGCCUAGAUGAAUGACUGUCCACGACAGAACCCGGCUUAUCGGUCAGUUUCACUU